Long non-coding RNA from Cyprinus carpio carpio, 2603 nucleotides. The record is from Ensembl. NCBI's taxonomy places the organism in Eukaryota, Metazoa, Chordata, Actinopteri, Cypriniformes, Cyprinidae.
AUGUUCAUUGGCCACAGAGUUUAUUUCCUGCAAUAAUCCAAAACCAAUUUAAAAAAAAAAUUGUCAUUAGCUACAGACAGUUUCAUAAAACAGCACUUUAACAUGAAAGAAUUACUCUGAAAAGACCAAGACAGCAGUGCUUUUCACAAUAUUAUCUCAUUGAAAAGAACAAUAGAAAAUAUUUGAAGCUAUAAGGGCCAUAAAAAUACAUUCACGACUGGCCUCUUUGCAAACAGCAGUCAAUAAACCCUGUAAAACAUGUGUUCAUUAUAUGUGGUGACAUGACCCCAAGAGCCCUAUUAAUGUGUUUAUUUGCAUUGUCCAUUCCCAGAUCUUUGCCAAAGUGUGGGAAUUAUAUCGCUUCCCUUUAGAGUGACAUCUGUGGGAUCUUUCUCUGUUUCGACAUUUGAGACAAUCGUGUGGAACGCUGAGAUGUACAAUGAGAGAGAUGCUGGGAGAGAUAUAUGAUACUGUGAAGAACGGGCUAAUCUCCCUUCCAAUCUGUCUGGCUUUUUCCAUCCAUCGAUUUUUUUUUUCUGCAAAAAGCCUUACAUAACUUGGCUGAAAAACAACAUACAUAUAAUCUGUAUGUCACAGAUGUCACUGUAAUCUCAGUGUUUAUGAUCAGUUUCUAUAGGAGCCCAAAGCUUUUGAAGUCUACACGAUCUCUCACAAAUGAGCCUCAAUUCUGCUAAGCUAAUUAUAUUUGCUGUAUUUGCUACCUACUGUACUGCUAAACCCAUCCUCCCCGCAAGAGUGCAGUAAGAUAUAAAUUGGCUGCGUUUAGAUUGUUUAGCCAAUGGACCUUUUUCUCAUUUCCGGGUUUCUCACACAGACUGUAUAAAAACACGGACGUAGUGUCCGUGAUGUCACCCGUAGUUUUCUGAAGAGCGUUUUUGAAGCUCAAAGUGGGUGGAGCGGGCCGUUGCCAUCUUGGCAGCGCGUCACUCCCGGAUCAUCGAAAUGGGCAAAAAGGCGGAGCUGAAGCCACGGAUAAUUUAAACGGAUGAGUUAUAAAAAAAAUGUUGUCAUGAAGGGCAAAAUUAGCUAUAGACCAAAAUCAUUUUCUGAACCAGGCUGUAAACGUUUUUUUUUUCUGCUGUGAAGUUGGGCAUUUUAACAUGGGGAGUCUAUGGGAUUACUCUCUUUUGCAGCCAGCCUCUAGCGGCCAGUGGACGAAUUACAGUUUACGUCACUUCCGUGUUGGUUUCACGAGAGAGAGCGGGAGGUUGCCGCUUGGUUUCUCAGCAGGGUAGUCAUCCUAAUUGGGUUAACUUGAAGAGCAGUCAAUGGUAGAGUAGGCUACCACAAAUAUAUUUUUUGCAUUCCCAUUUGCUCAAAUAGCAAAAGAAAAACUCCACGAUAGUGUUUUCAUGACUUUCAAUAAAACGAAAAAAAAAUUGAGAGAGACUGAUAACGGCAGUCAGAAGAGAGAACCGUGUCAAAUUUACCAUUGCUCCCAUAGACGCUGCAUUAGAAACACUCUCGCAUGAGCGUUAACUGUUGUUUUUUUUUGUGUGUGUGUGUGUGUGUGUGUGUGUGUGUGUGUGUGUGUAAUCUGAAGCAAAGUUAUUAUAAUACAAUGAAUAGUGUUAUAAAUGUACAUGUUUGUAAAAAUACAGAUAUGAAAGACUUUUGAGGAUUUACCAUGCUGAUGACCGUUAAACACAUCAUCACAGUCCUGUGAAAAGGGUUCAUCAGAACACUUUUGAAGCGCUUUCUACCAGCCACCUAUUUGGCGUGUUUACAGCAGGAAGUCCAUAUUUGGGAUGCCGGAAGCUGAGAGCUGGUAGAUGAACUUGGAGCGGUUUUUACAAGUUUUGGGAGAGAAUGUUGACAGUUUCUCAUCUGCCAUACAGCCAAGCGUCUUAAAGAAUACAAAGACUAAUAACAUAAGUAAAGAGACCAGAAAGCGAGGGAACCAAAAACAAGGCGAGAAUGAACAUCGGUAAAGGAUAUCAUCGCUGGAAGAAGCACGUGCGUUUGCGUCACUUCUGACUGAAAGGCCACGACUUAACCAAGAUUCUUAACCAGCAAAAUGUCCUGCCAACCAUAGAUGAAUUUUUCUGGUCCAGCAAGAGGAACUCUGGCAACACUUCACAGCUCUGCUGAAAGAUGACUCUACAGCAGACAUGGAAAACUGUUUGAGUCAGAGGAGCGAAUAGAGGCCUGGAUGUUGCUCCGCACGCAUUUCUGCUUUGUCCCUGUCUGUCUCUGACCCAUUUCAGCUGGCCAAAUGACCCUUACACCCCAUCUGGUGAAGCUGCCAGAGGAAACAUGAGAAGCCUGUUAGCUCACUGGUGAUAAGCACUCCUGUGAAUUACCUUUGAUUGGCCCGUUUAAUCUGAGGGACAGUGUACUGUGGGGUCUAAAAGUCAGAGACCACUUUGGAAAAAACUAUGCUCUAUUUGUUAAACCUAGAAAUAAAAUAGAAAAUUUUAGGAUAGUGAGAAAUGUUGUGCAACUGACCACUUAUUUGUAUAGAAACGGCAUUCUGACAUUUUAAUGAAUUUUUAAUGUCAGAUGUUAUGCUUCCAAUAUAAUUAAAUAUAAAUCCACCCAGCAAUACAAUGCAAACACAUCAAUGUAGAUCUCUCUCUCUC